Molecule: ribosomal RNA, 318 nt
Filed under: Triticum aestivum (bread wheat)
Lineage: Eukaryota; Viridiplantae; Streptophyta; Magnoliopsida; Poales; Poaceae
Description: partial small subunit ribosomal RNA
Source: RNAcentral
AUGAGAAAGGAGAGGAAAGAUAAAAAGAGGGCAGGGAAUGAAAAAACAGAGAAAGCUCAUAAAGAAAUCAUAGGGAAAAAGAGGGGUAAUCCUUUUGGUGCCCCACCAACAGGGAGUGAUUUAAAAUUUUCUUUUGAGAGAGAGAUGGAUAGUUAUGAACGCAUGUUGUAUGGUGAGACGAGUGUGUCUUCCAAGAGAAUUUGUAUGGGUAGAGUAGAAACUAUAAAGAAUGUGGACGGGGGUAAUCACACAUGUAGCGAAGGAAACAGAGGAAGAAGAGGCGUACAUGCAACAGAGGAGGGAAUCGGUUGGAGAUGA